CGUAACAAGGUCUCCGUAGGUGAACCUGCGGAGGGAUC
This 38-nucleotide ribosomal RNA is filed under the name Pezicula acericola. RNAcentral describes it as "partial 18S ribosomal RNA". RNAcentral also lists the same sequence under 3 other names. The record is from RNAcentral. Lineage: Eukaryota; Fungi; Ascomycota; Leotiomycetes; Helotiales; Dermateaceae.